Molecule: ribosomal RNA, 103 nt
Filed under: uncultured bacterium
Lineage: Bacteria
Description: partial 16S ribosomal RNA
Source: RNAcentral
CACACCGCCCGUCACACCAUGGGAGUUGGCUUUACCCGAAGGCGGUGCGCUAACCAGCAAUGGAGGCAGCCGACCACGGUAGGGUACAGCGACGUGGGGUGAA